Molecule: ribosomal RNA, 510 nt
Filed under: uncultured bacterium
Lineage: Bacteria
Description: partial 16S ribosomal RNA
Rfam family: Bacterial small subunit ribosomal RNA
Source: RNAcentral
GACGAGCGCUGGCGGCGUGCUUAACACAUGCAAGUCGAACGAAGAGCGAUGGAAGCUUGCUUCUAUCAAUCUUAGUGGCGAACGGGUGAGUAACGCGUAAUCAACCUGCCCUUCAGAGGGGGACAACAGUUGGAAACGACUGCUAAUACCGCAUACGAUCUAACCUCGGCAUCGAGGAUAGAUGAAAGGUGGCCUCUACAUGUAAGCUAUCACUGAAGGAGGGGAUUGCGUCUGAUUAGCUAGUUGGAGGGGUAACGGCCCACCAAGGCGAUGAUCAGUAGCCGGUCUGAGAGGAUGAACGGCCACAUUGGGACUGAGACACGGCCCAGACUCCUACGGGAGGCAGCAGUGGGGAAUCUUCCGCAAUGGACGAAAGUCUGACGGAGCAACGCCGCGUGAGUGAUGACGGCCUUCGGGUUGUAAAGCUCUGUUAAUCGGGACGAAAGGCCUUCUUGCGAAUAGUGAGAAGGAUUGACGGUACCGGAAUAGAAAGCCACGGCUAACUACGUG